RNAcentral lists this small RNA (82 nucleotides) under Halpernia frigidisoli. Its description in RNAcentral is "Flavo-1 RNA". It matches the Rfam family "Flavo-1 RNA". Lineage: Bacteria; Pseudomonadati; Bacteroidota; Flavobacteriia; Flavobacteriales; Weeksellaceae. The record is from Rfam by way of RNAcentral.
UUUUAGCCGCGGGUGAAGUGGCAUCCUUUUUCUUUUUUUUGCAAAAAAAAAGAAAAAGAUAUAACGGAACACGGGAAGAUAU